AAAUUCUCUGUGUUGGGGCCCACACCCCAACUCGCAUUGCCUGUAGAAUUUCUUUUCGAAAUUCUCUGUGUUGGGGCCCACACCCCAACUCGCAUUGCCUGUAGAAUUUCUUUUCGAAAUUCUCUGUGUUGGGGCCCCUGACUAGAGUUGAAAAAAGCUUGUUGCAAGCGCAUUUUCAUUCAGUCAACUACUAGCAAUAUAAUAUUAUAGACCCUAGGACAUUGAUUUAU
This 230-nucleotide non-coding RNA is filed under the name Staphylococcus aureus subsp. aureus NCTC 8325. Its description in RNAcentral is "Staphylococcus sRNA 35 (srn_0335)". It matches the Rfam family "Staphylococcus sRNA 35 (srn_0335)". From Rfam's summary of the family: Other name: Srn_0335, SAOUHSCs258. Northern blot transcript confirmed in exponentially growing and stationary cells in three cultivation media. Lineage: Bacteria; Bacillati; Bacillota; Bacilli; Caryophanales; Staphylococcaceae. The record is from Rfam by way of RNAcentral.